Salmo salar (Atlantic salmon) is the source of this 195-nucleotide non-coding RNA. The record is from RefSeq and is a predicted model, not a curated record. Lineage: Eukaryota; Metazoa; Chordata; Actinopteri; Salmoniformes; Salmonidae.
CAAAAACCAUGCAACGUGACAAGCCAUGCAAGCCAUGCAAUGUGACAAAGGGCAAAGUGUACCUGGACAGCAAUGUCUGCAAACGAGGUGGAAGUGACAACAUGCGGUGGAUCCUGUGGCACCUACACCAUGUAUUCUCUUGAGGCCAACAUGAUGGAGCGCUCUUGUACCUGCUUUUGGGAAGUAUCCACCACC